Non-coding RNA from Megalopta genalis, 619 nucleotides. NCBI's taxonomy places the organism in Eukaryota, Metazoa, Arthropoda, Insecta, Hymenoptera, Halictidae. The record is from RefSeq and is a predicted model, not a curated record.
AUGACGAGAUGACCAAGCCGAAACCGAGAGUCUCUUGACGAAAGAGAGAAUUAAAACGAAACAAACGAACUUUAUGUGUGGGUGUCCACGUUCUUCAUUUGAUACUGACGUUUUUGUUCUUACAUCUUACGUAAUAUUAAAAAAAAAAACAUUUGCUUUCGAUACUUCACACAAACAUGAUUUCCCUUCGCAAUUGAUCUCAUUACAACAGUAUUCGAAACCGUCGGUAGUACUAAAAAAUGUUUCAAACGAAAUUUAAGUGGUUUUAGGGGGCAUGUAAUUUGAUAUUAACAUACUUUGAAACUCAGGCAUAAUAUUGACAACUUUACCAAUACUUUCUCUAGAUGAUGAAAUAAUGCUUUUACGAUGUGUACUAUUUGACACAUAUUCUAUCGAAUUAGGAGAAUUAUGGGAAUGAUUGGACAUUGGUGUCUGUAUAGUUAAUGGAAUAGAUGGUAACUCCAUAUUUUUAGCAGCUAGAAGCUUCUUGAUAUAAGCUUCUGCUUCCACAUGGUGAAUUGUAAAUUCUGCAAUAUUUUGCGAAAGAAUAAAAUUUUGUUCUUGUAGUUCACGCAGUUCUAUCUCUUUCUAUAUAAAAUAAAAGUAUUAUUAACGCAAA